AUGUUCCACGGAUCCAUCCCAUGUGAUGCCUGGAAGCUCACCUGGAAGUGUUGGGCGCCGCCCCGGGUACGUUUCUUCCAUUGGCUCGCCCACCUAGAUCGAUGCUGGACCGCCGACCGCCUCGCCUGUCGCGGCCUACAGCAUCCCGCGCGCUGCCCACUCUGUGACCAGGCGCCGGAGACCAUCCAGCAUCUCCUCCUCGCCUGCCUGUUCUCUCGGUAG
RNAcentral lists this ribosomal RNA (222 nucleotides) under Triticum aestivum (bread wheat). Its description in RNAcentral is "partial small subunit ribosomal RNA". Lineage: Eukaryota; Viridiplantae; Streptophyta; Magnoliopsida; Poales; Poaceae. The record is from RNAcentral.